GACCGAUAGUGAACCAGUACGUGAGGGAAAGGUGAAAAGUACUUCGAAUAGAAGGGUGAAAUAGAUCCUGAAACCAUACGCUUACAAGCUGUCGGAGCCCUCUUAAUUUUAUUAUAUAGUAGGGUGACGACGUGCCUUUUGCAUAAUGAACCUACGAGUUAAUUUUUCCGGCAAGGUUAAGUAGUUCAGCUAUGGAGCCGUAGCGAAAGCGAGUCUGAAUAGGGCAUUUAGUCGGAAGAAUUAGACGCGAAACCGAGUGAUCUACCCAUGAGCAGGUUGAAACUGUGGUAACACAUAGUGGAGGACCGAACCGGUUGACGUUGAAAAGUCUUCGGAUGACUUGUGGGUAGGGGUGAAAGGCUAAUCAAACUCGGAGAUAGCUCGUACUCCCCGAAAUGCAUUUAGGUGCAGCAUCGUGUUAAAUAUAACAGAGGUAGAGCUACUGAUUGGAUGAAGGGGUUUCAUCACCUACUAAUUCCUGAUAAACUCCGAAUGCUGUUAUUAUGUUUCACGGUAGUGAGGGCAUGGGUGCUAAGAUCCAUGUCCAAGAGGGAAACAACCCAGACCAUCAGUUAAGGCCCCUAAGUAUAUAUUAAGUUGUAUAAACAAAGUUAAUUACACAGACAGCUAGGAUGUUGGCUUAGAAGCAG
This 650-nucleotide ribosomal RNA is filed under the name Blattabacterium punctulatus. RNAcentral describes it as "bacterial LSU rRNA". It matches the Rfam family "Bacterial large subunit ribosomal RNA", at positions 482 to 1115 of the family's 2925-position model. The record is from RNAcentral. Lineage: Bacteria; Pseudomonadati; Bacteroidota; Flavobacteriia; Flavobacteriales; Blattabacteriaceae.